RNAcentral lists this ribosomal RNA (451 nucleotides) under uncultured bacterium. RNAcentral describes it as "bacterial SSU rRNA". It matches the Rfam family "Bacterial small subunit ribosomal RNA", at positions 354 to 796 of the family's 1533-position model. The record is from RNAcentral.
GUGAGGAAUUUUGCGCAAUGGGCGAAAGCCUGACGCAGCGACGCCGCGUGGAGGACGAAGGUCUUCGGAUCGUAAACUCCUGUCAAGCGGGACGAAUCCCGGGCGGAUGAAUAAGCCGCCCGGUUGACGGUACCGCUGGAGGAAGCCCCGGCUAACUCCGUGCCAGCAGCCGCGGUAAUACGGAGGGGGCCAGCGUUGUUCGGAAUCAUUGGGCGUAAAGGGCGCGUAGGCUGCCGUGCAAGUCGGAGGUGAAAGCCCUCGGCUCAACUGAGGAACUGCCUUUGAUACUGCACGGCUUGAGUCCCGGAGAGGGUAGCGGAAUUCCCAGUGUAGCGGUGAAAUGCGUAGAUAUUGGGAGGAACAUCGGUGGCGAAGGCGGCUACCUGGACGGCGACUGACGCUGAGGCGCGAAAGCGUGGGGAGCAAACAGGAUUAGAAACCCGUGUAGUCC